Aethalodelphis obliquidens (Pacific white-sided dolphin) is the source of this 592-nucleotide long non-coding RNA. RefSeq lists it as uncharacterized. The record is from RefSeq and is a predicted model, not a curated record. The transcript is spliced from 3 exons. NCBI's taxonomy places the organism in Eukaryota, Metazoa, Chordata, Mammalia, Artiodactyla, Delphinidae.
UGUGCUCUUCCGGUCUAAGAAAUAUGCGAGAUUUCGCUCUCGUGGCUUGAGACAAGGGUGGAAAUAAGGCCAGAAAAAACAAAAGAAGUUGGAGAAAGGUUAAGAUUCAGGAGUGGACACAUGUAUUAAAUGGUGGGUAUGGGUUUGAUGUUUGAAAGAACAUUAUUUGUCAGUGGCUCUUGUUUGUGUGGUCCCUGGUGACCCCCAACUGGAAACAGAUUCAAAAUCAGUGAUUCUUCCACAGGAAUUUGCUCAGUUCAGGAGGCUUUGGAGAAGAGGACUAUUCUGGAACAAAAAGUAACUGUUGGGAGUAAAAGGCCUGGAGUUCCUAUAUCUGUAAGGAAGGGUCUGGUACUUCUCUGGGGUCCCUGAUGCCCUGACUUGGCCUGGUAGUCCUUCUCUCUGACCUCUCUGAGAGUUUUCAGCAAAGAAGUAAAAUGACACUUCCACACAGAGCACCAUGCCCGUUGUCCUUUUGAAGUCCAGGAUCAGGGGUCAAGAUGAGUCACAGCUGGGCUUCCCUGGUGGCGCAGUGGUUGAAAGUCCGCCUGCCGAUGCAGGGGACGCGGGUCCGUGCCCCGGUCUGGGAAGA